CCUGUGAAGAGGCGAUGGCAGCAGGAUAGAUAAGAGAUAAUGGGCUUAGGCUAGGGGCUCUGGAGGUAAAUUGGGUAAAUCAUGUGGAGGAGAUUUGAGGAGCAGAUUUGCAAGGGUGGUCGGUAGUAAAAUCAAGUGUUACCUGCUGAAUGUUAUCUUGGAUUUCCAUACAAGAUGCCCUAGUGAAGACUGGAACUGGCAGUUGGAUAUAGGAAUCUGAAGCUCAGAGAAGACAUCUGCCUGGGGACAGACAUAUUGGAGACACCAGCACACGAAUAGUACUUAGGACCAUGGGAUAAUAUGAGAUGUGGUAGUCAGCUCUCAGUAGGUUGUGCUGCAGUAACAAACAAUCCCCCAAUACUCACAAAUCCCAGUGGUCUAUAAGCAACAUGUGUUUACGUUCCUCUCACUUACUAUCUGCAGGGCGAAGCCAAGUCCCUGCUCUGUAUGUCUUUUUUAUUUUGACAGACAAAUAGAGGGACUAGGCCUCUCUGACUAGGCCGUGUGGUUGUAAGGCACAGGAAAAAGCAAAGACAGAACAUGUGCUAUCCCUGGAAGGUCUUGUUCAGAUGUGGCACAUGUCACUUGUGUGCACACUCCAUUCACUGAAGCCUAAUGUCCUCGGACGGAGCCUGAUGUCAGUGGGGUGGGGGACUACAACUCCUCCAGCAGGGGAUGGUGGGGGAACUCAGGUCACAGGGAACAAUCCAGGAGGGCAGCAAAGAGCUGGCCUCAUUGGAACAGAGGACUGAACGUCAUGCCCGUGCUCCUUGCCCACAGGCUCGUCUGCAUCCCCCAACACCAACAGCCCCUGGGCGUGCCUCCACCUGUGGGCCCACCAUGCUCUCAGUUUCUCUAGGUUAGAACUCCAAGAGCAGUGGAGCUGGGGAUCAACCAGGGCUGCAGUCAUCUGAAUAUUGCCCAGGCCUGGAGGGUUUGUUUCCAAGCUCACUCAUGUGGUCAUUGGCAGGAAGCUUGGAUUUUAAGUGAGCCCUGCUAUAGGGUUUCCCAUGACGUCACUUCCUCCAAAUCUACUCCUCCAAGAGCAAGAACCUCUGGAGGCUAAUCUCCAUGUGGCAGAAGAACAGCAAUCCCCAGGAACUGCCACUGGACGGAGCCCGUGUGUGAC
Molecule: non-coding RNA, 1129 nt
Organism: Ictidomys tridecemlineatus (thirteen-lined ground squirrel)
Lineage: Eukaryota; Metazoa; Chordata; Mammalia; Rodentia; Sciuridae
Source: RefSeq, a predicted model, not a curated record